UGUAUGUAUGUAUGUAUGUAUGUAUGUAUAUUGAGAAAUGUGAAGCGGGGCAUCCGUUAUACAGUAAAUGAAAUGUGUAGGUCAGAGUCUCACCUGUGUCUGGUUCCCUGGCUCCCCCUGCUGGUCACUGAGUGGUAGAGUCCUGGCCAGGGCAGAGAUGGCACUAGCCCUCACAUAGCUCUCCUGAUCACACAGCGCCUCCAGCAGGAUAGGAGUGACCGUGCAGCUUAACGCCUCACACAGCUGGCCGAGGAACUCUAGAGUGGAGUCUAGAACCUCCCAACGCACAUCACACACACGCUUCUUUAGCACGGGAAGGAGGUCUGUUACAACACACACACACACGCUUCUUUAGCACGGGAAGGAGGUCUGUUACAACACACACACACACACACACACGCUUCUUUAGCACGGGAAGGAGGUCUGUUACAACACACACACGCUUCUUUAGCACGGGAAGGAUGUCUGUUACAACAUACACACACACACACGCUUCUUUAGCACGGGAAGGAGGUCUGUUACAACACACACACACUUCUUUAGCACAGGAAGGAGGUCUGUUACAACACACACACACACACGCUUCUUUAGCACAGGAAAGAGGUCUGUUACAACACACACACACACGCUUCUUUAGCACGGGAAGGAGGUCUGUUACAACACACACACACACACACACACACGCUUCUUUAGCACGGGAAGGAGGUCUGUUACAACACACACAGGAAAAAACAUCAGUAUAAAUAUCUGUUAAGCAACAUCUGACCAGAUAUAUUGAUGUUGACUCCCUGCACCUUCAGUGACCAGAUAUAUUGAUGUUGACUCCCUGUACCUUCAGUGACCAGAUAUAUUGAUGUUGACUCCCUGUACCUUCAGUGACCAGAUAUAUUGAUGUUGACUCCCUGUAUCUUCAGUGACCAGAUAUAUUGAUGUUGACUCCCUGUACCUUCAGUGACCAGAUAUAUUGAUGUUGACUCCCUGCACCUUCAGUGACCAGAUAUAUUGAUGUUGACUCCCUGCACCUUCAGUGACCAGAUAUAUUGAUGUUGACUCCCUGUACCUUCAGUGACCAGAUAUAUUGAUGUUGACUCCCUGUACCUUCAGUGACCAGAUAUAUUGAUGUUGACUCC
This 1130-nucleotide long non-coding RNA is filed under the name Salmo salar (Atlantic salmon). RNAcentral describes it as "lncRNA (ENSSSAG00000121617.1)". The record is from RNAcentral. Lineage: Eukaryota; Metazoa; Chordata; Actinopteri; Salmoniformes; Salmonidae.